AAUACGCCGAAACACAAGCUCUAUAGACUCAAAGGGGAAGCUUGCUGCGGCCUCUGCGCGACGGGCCCGGGAUCCGAUUAAACUGCGAAUGGCUCAUUAAAACAGUUAUAGUUUAUUUGAUACAUUAAAUGGAUAACUGUAGAAAAACUAGAGCUAAUACAUGCCAAAGCCUCACGGUUGUAUUUAUUAGAUAUUCCAAUUAGGUGAAUCAUAAUAACUUCGCAAAUCUCGGUUUUGCCGAGAUAAAUCAUCCAAGUUUCUGCCCUAUCAUGCUUUCGAUGGUAGUGUAUUGGACUACCACCGGCCCCCACGGGUAACAGGGAAUUAGGGUUCGAUUCUGGAGAAGGAGCCUGAGAAACGGCUACUACAUCUACGGAAGGCAGCAGGCGCGUAAAUUACCCAAUCCUGACUCAGGGAGGUGGUGACAAGAUAUAACAACGCAAUUUCAUUGUGAUUGUAGUGAGGGUAUUCCAAACCGAACCACUAGUACGAUUAGAGGGCAAGUCUGGUGCCAGCAGCCGCGGUAAUUCCAGCUCUAAUAGCGUAUAUUAAAGUUGCUGCAGUUAAAAGCUCGUAGUUGGAUUUCAGGAUUGUGUACUCUCUCAGAGUAUGCACCCUACUAGUCUUUGACUUGUUCACGGGAAAAAAUUAUAAUGGUUUAAGCACGGGAUUGGCAGAAAACAUAUCAACG
This 691-nucleotide ribosomal RNA is filed under the name uncultured rumen protozoa. RNAcentral describes it as "bacterial SSU rRNA". It matches the Rfam family "Eukaryotic small subunit ribosomal RNA", at positions 68 to 811 of the family's 1831-position model. The record is from RNAcentral.